ACUUAAAAUGGUUGAGAGGUUAAAACCAGAAAACUUUACGGAGGAGAAUUCUCCGUUCCGUGUCCGUGUACAGUUCUCAAGUUGGGAGGUUGUACAGAUGGUUUUAUGCUUCUGUACCCUACUACCUAUCAGAUUAGUAGUGGGACUCGUUUCCUUAGUUUUAGCCUGGAUAGUAUCAAGUAUAGGACUACUAGAAAUGGAUUUAUCUAAACCUAU
Long non-coding RNA from Eurytemora carolleeae, 216 nucleotides. RefSeq lists it as uncharacterized. The record is from RefSeq and is a predicted model, not a curated record. The transcript is spliced from 3 exons. Lineage: Eukaryota; Metazoa; Arthropoda; Copepoda; Calanoida; Temoridae.